CUUGCCAGGAAGGCCCGGGGCUUGAGGCCCUGGAAGGCCUGGCCCGUUCAGGAGUCCCGGCUGUUUGGGGGAAUGUCCCACGCCCUGUGGGGAUUUGAGCCGUGUCUCCCGGCCGACUUGGGUGUCCCGGUUGGUGUGUGGUCGGGCCUGGGACGGGCGUGGUGCGGGCGGGAACCGCCGGGUAGCGACCACGUCUCGUCAGGGGGUUCGUGCCUGCUGCUGGGCACGGGAACGGCUCCGGGGGGGUCUUACGGGCGCUGAGGGGAUUCCGCAUCAUGGAGAGGUCAAGGGGAGUUGGUGGCCGUCACCCUUCGUCAGGGCAGGGUAGCAUCAGUGCUCCCGUGCUGGGGUUCCUGGAGAGCCGGCUGGCACGGACAGACUCUUGUGAGGGCAAGUGGCUGAUCGUGCGUCGGAUGGGUCCAGCAAAGGAGAGAAAGCUUCGGUGCGCGCGCGCUCGCCAGGGAAAGGGUGACAGCGGGUGGGACCGAGAGGGAGAGAGAGAGAGGGAGAGAACAAAGGAAGAGAGAGGGUUUCCGCAGGGGCGGUGAGUCCUGGCGGAAGUCCUGAGGCAGAGGAGGUGCCAGGGGUUUGGGUUUCCCGGUCGUGUCGGGGGUGUGGCGCAGGUUGCCCCAGUGGGCCUGAAUGUGCCUCCGUGGGGCACCUUGUUGCCGUGUUGGGGGGCGGGGAGCCGGCCUUGGGGAUCCAUCUUUCGGGCCCUGGGACGUGGGAGAAGAAUGCCGGGGCCUCUCUCUGUGCCCCUGGCACGCCUCUGUGCAGGCCGGGCCUGCACCACCCCCCGCGCCCGUCCCCCAGGCAGGGUCCGUGUGGCUGCAGACACCCAGAGAGAGGGGAGGCUGGGGAGGCUGGGGAGCCGUGGCAGCCCGAUGCAGUGCGGGUCUCCAGGUGGAGGGGCCCUGGUCCCCUGGCGCCAGCGUGGCCCUUCCUCCUUGUGGAAACCCUUGUGGUGUGUGUGCUCUCUCGCCCUGACCCAGGAGAGCAGCAUGGCGGACCCCUGAUCUUGUGGCGUGCCACCGCGCGAGGCCGAGGAGCUCCCGCAGACCAGUGGGCGUGGCGUCCUUGUCGCGGCUCUGUGGAGACCUGGCGAUGGAGAGCAGCAUGGCGGACCCCUGAUCUUGUGGCGUGCCACCGCGCGAGGCCGAGGAGCUCCCGCAGACCAGUGGGCGUGGCGUCCUUGUCGCGGCUCUGUGGAGACCUGGCGAUGGUGAGCGGCCCCUGUCCUCAGUGGUGGAGAACUCGCCCUUGGGGCGCUCGUCUGUCCGGAGCCCCGGGCCAGCCCCGCUUCUCGCGGGCUUUGGCCCCGGCAGGCCAGCUCCGGGGGCGUGAGGGGGAGCGUCCCGUCCUGCCCAGUGGCUCGUCUGUCUGGGCACGCCCCCAAACGCUGCCGUGAUGGAGCGGGUGGGAUGUCCAGGUGCGGAGGCCGUGAAUUUGCCUUGCGGCGGCGGAGCCCGUGCUCGGAUCGAUGAUGACUCCCUCUAAAGCAUUCCUUGGAAAUCUGAACAAAUGAGUGAGAACUCACUACCGUCUCCUCAUCGAAACUGAGGUCCGGCACGUGGCGGCCACCGGGGGCUCGGGGGUAGAUGGGCCCUUGGCCUUGGGGCCUCUGGUGUCAGCAGCCACUCGGGUGAGGUCUGGGGAAGGCGGCCGCCUGCCGGGCCCAGGAAGCAUGGGGCCCGUGGCCCGGCGCUGGCCUCGGGGGAGAGGCCGCGUGCCCGAGCGUGCUGGAGAUCCCGGGCGGCCUCCCGCCGGCCUUGGGGGGUUUCGCAAGCCGUCGCGGGGGCCGAAAUUUGGGCCCGGCCCGCGAGGCAAGUGUGCGGCCCUAGGGCCCCAGGGGGCGUCCUGGCCCAGGCCGGGCGCCCUUCUCAGGAUGCUGUGGGGAGACGGGAUCCCGGCAGGGUAGUGUUCUCUUUCUGCUCUGGGGACCCCUGAGGGCCACCUGCUGCAGGGGGUCUGUGGUAGCGGGGGCCCUUGGAUCAGGGCCGUCCCCCAUGGGAGGGGGGGAGCCUGGGAACCCCUGAGGGCG
Molecule: long non-coding RNA, 2041 nt
Filed under: Sus scrofa (pig)
Lineage: Eukaryota; Metazoa; Chordata; Mammalia; Artiodactyla; Suidae
Description: lncRNA (ENSSSCG00070012102.1)
Rfam family: Small nucleolar RNA SNORD116 (bases 1475-1565)
Source: RNAcentral